Molecule: unclassified non-coding RNA, 370 nt
Filed under: Hevea brasiliensis (rubber tree)
Lineage: Eukaryota; Viridiplantae; Streptophyta; Magnoliopsida; Malpighiales; Euphorbiaceae
Source: RNAcentral
GAAAUGGUUUUGAUUCUGCCUUAAAAAUGGUUGUUGGCUCUGAAACUGUGCCAGCACGUCAAUUUGUAGAAUAUUCUUUUGGCCAAUUGAAGUCUUUCAAUGAUGCAUACCUUUCCAAGGAUCUACUUUCAAACAGCAAUUGUUCAGAGAUUGCUAGUAGUUCCAACAAUUCUGUAGUGUCAGAUAUUCCUUCACAGAUAGAGAACAUUUCAGAAGCCUCUUCGAAUGAAAAAAGUUGCAGCCAGGAGAGUAAUUUAGAGUCCCACAUUGAUAAUGGUGGCUUAGAUGAUGGACACCCAGCAGAAUUGGGGGCAAAAGCUGAUGAGAUUAUGCAAUCAAAUAAACAUUUUUGGAAGAACUUUGCUGAACU